Molecule: RNA transcript, 1388 nt
Organism: Salvia miltiorrhiza (redroot sage)
Lineage: Eukaryota; Viridiplantae; Streptophyta; Magnoliopsida; Lamiales; Lamiaceae
Exons: 3
Source: RefSeq, a predicted model, not a curated record
UCAAUAUAUGAAAUGGGAAGUCGUGUUUGACUGGUCUAAGUUAACCAGAUUUCUUCUUUAAAAAUACAAUUCCAAAAAAAAAAACUCUAUUUUACCAUUUUCUCCCGUUUAAAGCAUCCAAGAAAGCAUAAAAAAAAGUAGAAAAAAUCCAUGGCGGAUUACAGAUCAAACUUGUACAGCGAUUCCGACAUGCAAAUAGAGCCUUAUUACCGGCCCCCAUCCGCCGGCGACUUCCGAUCGUACAGCACGACUUCGUACUACCAGACGGCGGCGGCGGCGGCGGCGCCGCGGAAGCUGAAGAAGGGGAAGAGCAUGGGCGCGUCGGUAUCGAAGUCGUGGAGCUUUAACGAUCCGGAGAUUCAGAGGAAGAAGAGGGUCGCGAGCUAUAAGGCUUACACAGUUGAAGGCAAAGUCAAAGGCUCUUUUAGGAGGAGUUUUCGAUGGAUUAAGGAUAGAUGCAAUCUUCUCAUUCAUGGAUUCUGAAGUUGAGUGUGAGAAACUGAGAGAGAUUUCAAGAUUUGUUGGUUUGAUGAGAGAGAGAGAGAGAGAGAGAGAGAGAGAGCUUUUGAUUGUGUGAAGUGAAAGAUGUAAUGUAAUCAAGAAGAAUUCUUGAGGUGAAUUGCUGCACUGCAUAUAGACUUUUUAAGACAUUGUGUGUACGAGUGAAAUAUUGGACCAUUUUUGUUCAUGUUGAUGAAGGUUAGAAGUAGUUUUUGGGGUUAUUCUUAAAUUAUAGCUCCACGAUCAUGACUUUUUUAGUUCGAAUUUAUAAAUAUUACUCCCUCCAUACAGUGGGAUAUUUAUCUCCGUUGUUCAUUUAAUAAUUCGAGUUAAAAUUUUCGACCAACUGAAGCUAAUGUGUAUCGCAGGAAGCUGAUCUGGCAACGCUGUCAUUAUUUUUAACGUAUACACCAUCUUUAUUCAUAUUUAAUCCUUCAACACUAGGUCGGCAUCCGCGAUGCACAUCAACUUCAUUUAGCUAGAAAUUUGAUUUUGACUUAUUAGGUGAACAAUAAAGAUUAGUACAUGUUAUAUUUGUAAAUUCAAACUAAAAAAUCACCAUGUAAUCAAAGCUAGGGCUAUAGUUUAAGAAUAACCCUAAUUUUGGUGGCCGUUGGACGACCUCGUGAUUGAAAGGUUAGGUGCACUGUGCACGUGGUGGUUCGACUGGCUCGGGCUAACCGCACCAUGGGCCCGGGGCCAGCUUGGUUCAGUGAGCUAUGUUUUAGGGUUGCAUUGUCGAUCAUGUCAAGCUAAUUUACUUUCAAUUAAACUAUUUAAGGUUUUUGUUAGUUUUGGUUUUGAGUUCAUGUGGUGAAUUUGGUUUGGAAUCAAGCUUAUUUCAAGGUCAUAUAAACCAUUGAAUUCAACUCAUUUGUUUCAUCUUA